Molecule: ribosomal RNA, 461 nt
Filed under: uncultured bacterium
Lineage: Bacteria
Description: bacterial SSU rRNA
Rfam family: Bacterial small subunit ribosomal RNA
Source: RNAcentral
UUAACGCUGGCGGCGUGCCUAAUACAUGCAAGUCGAAUGGUAGCAAUACCAUGGCGAACGGGUGAGUAACACGUAGGUAACCUGUCUUUAAGCCGAGGAUAACCAUUGGAAACGAUGGAUAAUACUGGAUAGGACAUUUGAAGGCAUCUUUAGAUGUUUAAAGAUUUAUUACUUAGAGAGGGGCCUGCGGCGCAUUAGCUAGUUGGUGAGGUGAAGGCUUACCAAGGCGAUGAUGCGUAGCCGGACUGAGAGGUUGAACGGCCACAAUGGAACUGAGAACGGUCCAUACUCCUACGGGAGGCAGCAGUAGGGAAUUUUCGGCAAUGGGCGGAAGCCUGACCGAAGCAACGCCGCGUGAACGAAGAAGUAUUUCGGUAUGUAAAGUUCUUUUAUUAGGGACGAAAAGACAGAUUGACGGUACCUAAUGAAUAAGCUCCGGCUAACUACGUGCCAGCAGCUGC